Molecule: ribosomal RNA, 533 nt
Filed under: uncultured Pezizomycotina
Lineage: Eukaryota; Fungi; Ascomycota
Description: eukaryotic LSU rRNA
Rfam family: 5.8S ribosomal RNA (bases 170-323)
Source: RNAcentral
CGGGGCCCGACCUCCACCCUAUGUCUACAUUACUUUGUUGCCUCGGCGGGCCCCCUCCUAAUGUUCACACGGGCUUUCGCCGUCGGUCCUCGGACCCUCUAGUGCCCGCCGAUGGACUAUAUUGAACCCCUUUGAAUCAGCCAUCUGAGUGAUUAUUAUAAUACUUCAAAACUUUCAACAACGGAUCUCUUGGUUCUCGCAUCGAUGAAGAACGCAGCGAAAUGCGAUAAGUAUUGUGAAUUGCAGAAUUCAGUGAAUCAUCGAAUCUUUGAACGCACAUUGCGCCCCCUGGUAUUCCGGGGGGCAUGCCUGUUCGAGCGUCAUUACAGACCAUCAAGCUUACGCUUGGCAUUGGGUCUUCGUCCCUGCUGUGGACGGACCCUGAAGACCUUGGCGACGGCGCGGAGCCUCAAGCGUAGUAGAACUCUAUCCCGCUUACGGAGGCCCCGCGAAGUCCGCUUCUAGACCCAACACAACCUCAAGGUUGACCUCGGAUCAGGUAGGGAUACCCGCUGAACUUAAGCAUAUCAAUA